UUACGGGGACAGAAGUAUGCUGAAAUCUAAGGUAGUAAUCUCUGAAACUCUUCAACAAAGAAGCAUUAGCACAAGCAGUGGCAUUUCUUUGUUUGGCUGAAAAGAAGGACUGAAGCUGUUCUGGGAUUUCAUCUUACCUUCUGGAAACCAAGUGUAUUCUGUGAAGUCUGAUAAAAAGAAACUGCCACCUGUUAGACCAUGAAGCACAAGCAGUAUCAGAAGAAAAUUCCAAAGUAGCCAUGCUCUGAGAGUAUUUUGUCCUGAACUGAGUAACACUCAA
Molecule: long non-coding RNA, 280 nt
Organism: Tympanuchus pallidicinctus (lesser prairie-chicken)
Lineage: Eukaryota; Metazoa; Chordata; Aves; Galliformes; Phasianidae
Exons: 3
Source: RefSeq, a predicted model, not a curated record